AACCCUGCUGCCUUUCUACCAAAGGCUUCCAACAGCAACAUGAAGCUGAUAGGCUUCCUCAUCCUUGUGACCCUUCUCGCCCUCAGCCUAGAAGUGCAAGAGCUUCAGGCUGCUGUGAGAUCCUUGAAACUUCUGGGUUCCUGCGUAGAACUCUGCAGAAGUGACUGGGACUGUGAGGCAGGGGAGCGGUGUGUCAGCAAUGGUUGUGGCCACAUCUGUGCUUCGGACUAAGGACAGAGUUCCUACCUUUGACAAUGUGACUGUUUGGAGCUCCUUGUCCAGGAAGACAUGAAAAUGAGGGUUCAAGGAUGAAGACCGCAAGGGCAUGGGGCGGCGGG
Long non-coding RNA from Loxodonta africana (African savanna elephant), 338 nucleotides. RefSeq lists it as uncharacterized. The transcript has 3 exons. The record is from RefSeq and is a predicted model, not a curated record. Lineage: Eukaryota; Metazoa; Chordata; Mammalia; Proboscidea; Elephantidae.